Drosophila persimilis is the source of this 735-nucleotide long non-coding RNA. RefSeq lists it as uncharacterized. Lineage: Eukaryota; Metazoa; Arthropoda; Insecta; Diptera; Drosophilidae. The transcript is spliced from 2 exons. The record is from RefSeq and is a predicted model, not a curated record.
UCGGAAUCGGAAUUUAAAUGAGAAAUGAGAUUCAAUUUGAACUUUGGCCAGCGGGGUUUUUCCCCAUUCAUCCCAUCCAACCCAUCAAUCCCUCUCUGAUUGCAAAUACAAAUGAAUUCCAGCUGUCGCCAGAGCUGGAUGCUGGCUGCUGUAUUGCUAUACUGCUAAUUAUUGUUAUACAACCAACUGAAUCUAAAUGUAUUCUUUUGGCUAAUUGCAAAUCGUGUUCGCGGUACACACAGAGACAGAGAGACAGAGAGAACCCUCUAGGGGGUACUGAGAGGCUGAGAAAGACACGACGGGGUGGGAGGUAGCUGUGGUUCAGGUGCAGCCUCAUGUAAGCCAAUCCCCACACUGUCAUCUACGUCAGCGGCAAACCUGUUGCUGGGAGGCACUACCAGGCAGCAGGCAGCAGCUAUCAGCCAUCAGCUGUCGCCAUCAUUGCACUUGGACCUGGAUAUAACCCAUAUAUACAUAUUUUUAGUCACAGAAUGAGGUCACGGAUCGCCACCAUUCGAUGGCUCCGAAGUGAGAACGCUUUGGGAUAUCUUUUGUUAUUGAAUAUGGAUGCUAAUCGCCGUGAGUCAUGAACUGGCUGGCAAUCACGUGAAAGCGUAUGGCUUCUACUAAAAUGUUAAUUUGAAAUGUGUCGAAUAUAAUUAUUAUGAAGCCCGAGGGGAUUUAUGCAUUAAUUUCCGAGAAGAAGAAUAAUAAUAAAGGUCCAUUUCAAUUGAA